Molecule: ribosomal RNA, 169 nt
Filed under: uncultured bacterium
Lineage: Bacteria
Description: partial 16S ribosomal RNA
Rfam family: Bacterial small subunit ribosomal RNA
Source: RNAcentral
GCUAGUAAUCGCGGAUCAGCAUGCCGCGGUGAAUACGUUCCCGGGCCUUGUACACACCGCCCGUCACACCAUGAGAGUUGGCAAUACCCAACGUACGUGAUCUAACCCGCAAGGGAGGAAGCGUCCUAAGGUAGGGUCAGCGAUUGGGGUGAAGUCGUAACAAGGUAUC